RNAcentral lists this ribosomal RNA (445 nucleotides) under uncultured bacterium. Its description in RNAcentral is "partial 16S ribosomal RNA". It matches the Rfam family "Bacterial small subunit ribosomal RNA", at positions 354 to 796 of the family's 1533-position model. The record is from RNAcentral.
GUGAGGAAUAUUGGUCAAUGGGCGCAAGCCUGAACCAGCCAUGCCGCGUGCAGGAAGACGGUCCUAUGGAUUGUAAACUGCUUUUAUUUGGGAAUAAACUCCGGUACGUGUACCGGCCUGAAGGUACCAAAUGAAUAAGCACCGGCUAACUCCGUGCCAGCAGCCGCGGUAAUACGGAGGGUGCAAGCGUUAUCCGGAAUCAUGGGGUUUAAAGGGUCCGCAGGCGGUCUUAUAAGUCAGUGGUGAAAGCCUACAGCUCAACUGUAGAACUGCCAUUGAUACUGUAGGACUUGAAUUCGAUCGAAGUGGGCGGAAUGUGACAUGGAGCGGUGAAAUGCUUAGAUAUGUCAAAGAACACCGAUAGCGAAGGCAGCUCACUAGGUCUGGAUUGACGCUCAGGGACGAAAGCGUGGGGAGCAAACAGGAUUAGAAACCCCAGUAGUCC